AUUGAACGCUGGCGGCAUGCUUUACACAUGCAAGUCGAACGGCAGCGCGGGCUUAGGCCUGGCGGCGAGUGGCGAACGGGUGAGUAAUACAUCGGAACGUGCCCAGUAGUGGGGGAUAGCUCGGCGAAAGCCGGAUUAAUACCGCAUACGACCUGAGGGUGAAAGCGGGGGAUCUUCGGACCUCGCGCUAUUGGAGCGGCCGAUGGCAGAUUAGCUAGUUGGUGGGGUAAAGGCCUACCAAGGCGACGAUCUGUAGCUGGUCUGAGAGGACGACCAGCCACACUGGGACUGAGACACGGCCCAGACUCCUACGGGAGGCAGCAGUGGGGAAUUUUGGACAAUGGGCGAAAGCCUGAUCCAGCAAUGCCGCGUGUGUGAUGAAGGCCUUCGGGUUGUAAAGCACUUUUGGCGGGAACGAAAAGGACUGUGCCAAUACCACGGUUCGAUGACGGUACCCGCAGAAUAAGCACCGGCUAACUACGUG
This 484-nucleotide ribosomal RNA is filed under the name uncultured bacterium. RNAcentral describes it as "partial 16S ribosomal RNA". It matches the Rfam family "Bacterial small subunit ribosomal RNA", at positions 29 to 507 of the family's 1533-position model. The record is from RNAcentral.